Molecule: ribosomal RNA, 141 nt
Filed under: Vibrio viridaestus
Lineage: Bacteria; Pseudomonadati; Pseudomonadota; Gammaproteobacteria; Vibrionales; Vibrionaceae
Description: Vibrio sp. LJC006 partial 16S ribosomal RNA
Rfam family: Bacterial small subunit ribosomal RNA
Source: RNAcentral
UUAAUUGAAGAGUUUGAUCAUGGCUCAGAUUGAACGCUGGCGGCAGGCCUAACACAUGCAAGUCGAGCGGUAACAGAAAGAAGCUUGCUUCUUUGCUGACGAGCGGCGGACGGGUGAGUAAUGCCUGGGAAAUUGCCCUGA